CGGGUCCGGCGGCGGACGUGGAAGUCCCCUUUAAGUUUCCAUAGAGAGGCCUCCGGGUGUCACAUGAUGGACAUGAUAUAACGAAACAACAUCGUGGGGAGGAAGGGAGGGAAGCAGUGGGGGAGCCCGGGGAGGCGGCGGGGUAGGCGGUGGUGCCCCCCGACCCGCCCGCCCCGGCUGCACCUGUCUCGGCGCGCCGGGAGCGCGGUGUCCGCCCCGCUGAUGGGGCUGCGGGCGGCACCUUCCCUCGGGGAGGGGACGACGAGGAGGAGGAGAAGGAGAGCCGGUGGCGGAGGUUUUCAUGGCUGUUCUGAUUCCUGUUGCUGCAGCCAGCGUGGAUCCGGAUGCCGUGGCUACAGAGGCUUGUUACUUUCUCAUGCUGGAUCCCUCAAAUCCAAGAGCUACUUGGCAGUUUCCAAGGCAACCACCUGUGGAAUAAUUAAAAAGGAUGAAGUGUUAGCCUGCCAGAUAUAAGGAAUUCUUGCCUGGAGAGAGCAUUUCACUUUCAUCUGCCUUGAAGAAUCAAAUGUGCUUCUGCCAGCAAAGUUAAGAAAAAGGAACGGUGGCUGAGUUGUACAAGUGAACCAGGACAAUCCAAAACGUGACUCAAAGCAGGAGGGAGCAGAUGGCAGCAUCGUUAGCUGGUGGCCACAGCCUUCCCAGAUGAGUUUUGGAAUUUCCAUCAAAGUCGGGAUUAGGCUCAGGAUAUGCCAGUGGCACAGAGCACGCCGGGGGAGCGUGGAAGAAGAGGAAAUCAUUCAUAGCGACUCAUCUCGUGGUUGGGUGCUGAUCUCACAAAGGUGUCCUGCAUAUGCCAAAGGACAAACAUGUUGUUUGAGGGAAAAGCUGUUCAUAAAUCUGUGCAAACUGAAAGAUUCUGAUGACAAACCUGUCAUUAGUGAAUUGUCCCAGAAGCACAUGGAGAAAGCUGUACAUGGUGGAGGCUGUUUUUUCUGAGGCUGAAACUCAUCUCAACUCCUCGUGACCAGCUGAGCAAGAGAGAUGGGAUUUGAUGCUAUCCAAGGUGUAAUUCCACAGUUCAUGUCUUUUGCUACUGCCAGCUUAAUAAGUUUCUGCCCACUCCCAGCCAUUCAUUUCCAGCCCAGCAGCAAUGCAGUGCCAUUCUCUUUCCUGACCGUGCGGAAAACCAGAUGGCUGAAAAUAACUCAGUCGAGAAAAGAAACCCUAUAUUUUGGUUUUUUUCCUUUGAAUUAGAAUCAUUUGAAUGAACUUCGUGGCCCAUGGGCAGUCGUAUUGGUACAACUGAAGGUGACAUGAACUGCAGCAUCAGAGGCAGCAGUGAGCACUGGAGGGUGUCCCAAUGCUAAGUGAUCUUGCUGUCAACAAAAAUCUGCUCUGGGACCAUAUCCUGGAUGAAGGGGUUUCACUAGCCACAGGAUUAUUUAUUGAACUGCUGCUUUUCAUUUAUUUUAUUAAGGAAGAUUAACAUCUUCUUGUUCGGGCAGGUUUAUUUUUUUUUACUUGAGGAGAUAAACCAUCUCUGUGAGAAGUCAGUCAGCUUUGUGGACAGCCAUGAAUGUCAAUAAAGUCUUGGCAAACACAGUAGGCAUUUAUUCAGCCUUGCAAAUUAAAAACAUUUUUCCUGCUUGUUUAGUGAAGGGAACAAAAAAAGACAAAUUACAUAGCGGAUGAGCUCUCUUGAUAGUUGGAAUUCAUUAAGCUGGUGGUGAAAACGCUGGGGGAUUGAUGGUGCAGAAAAAGAAAAGAUGAAGCAGCUUUUCCCCAAUAGCUGUGGUUUAAGUUCAAGUUGAAAAUGACCAAAAAAAAAAAUUCCCUUAAAGACAUCUGUAACUGACUUCACAGUCUCAAUUUCUGUCUGGGUAGACAGUUCUUUUCUCA
Molecule: long non-coding RNA, 1860 nt
Organism: Neopelma chrysocephalum (saffron-crested tyrant-manakin)
Lineage: Eukaryota; Metazoa; Chordata; Aves; Passeriformes; Pipridae
Exons: 7
Source: RefSeq, a predicted model, not a curated record